This is a long non-coding RNA of Alosa sapidissima (American shad), 105 nucleotides long. RefSeq lists it as uncharacterized. The record is from RefSeq and is a predicted model, not a curated record. The transcript has 3 exons. NCBI's taxonomy places the organism in Eukaryota, Metazoa, Chordata, Actinopteri, Clupeiformes, Clupeidae.
CUGAAGUUUGCCAAUAGUGGCAAAGGUGUUCGCCAGUGAUUUGCCACCACACUUAGCCAAUAAUGGCAAACUUCCAGUGAACUUCUGGUGACAAACCUAAUUUGC